This 687-nucleotide long non-coding RNA is filed under the name Hordeum vulgare. RNAcentral's name for it is "long non-coding RNA (HVUL_LNC008630)". Lineage: Eukaryota; Viridiplantae; Streptophyta; Magnoliopsida; Poales; Poaceae. The record is from RNAcentral.
GCCGUGGAAUGUCUUAACAAGAUAGGAACGUAAAAUAAUAUCACCAUUGGCAUGUAUAACCAUUCAAGUCCGACCUAGGCUUUCAUCCCGGAGUUGGAGACCGGAUGCUCGUAGCACCACCAUCAAAGUCACACGUCAAGUUCGCCUUUCUUCUUCGUCGGCAGGGGAGAGGAAGACUAAAGAGACGAGAUGUACGUAUGUACGUACGUCAACCUCGUUGGUAGCGUGGAACGUGGAGCACGUACGUUCCUGCAUUCCGCUCGCUUGAUUGAUUACCACUCCUGUUAGGAAUUGAAGCCGGUGGUUAGCUCGACUCGCUGCACGACACGGCACGACGCAUGCUGCACUGCAAAGCGCAAAGCGUGUGUGGAAUAUGGCAAGGGCGUUCGUUGCUGGUAGUACGUACAUUCAUAUGGAUGUCCCCGAUCCGGCAGCACGCACGCCUUGUCGUCGUUGGUCCGCUAAUAACUCCUGCAACGAAUUGAUAGACCCAUCAUCAACCGCGCCACCCGCACCCGCACCCAGCUAAUAAGCUAACCACCACUAGCUAGCUUUAACACCAACUUAAUCAACUCAGUCGAAAAUGCCCGUUCCAAGCCCGGGAUAUUUCUCGUGAGCCUGCAGCGUUGUUUCUCAGUUCUCACCGCCUGAUCGCUCUUCUCUUCUCUUGGUGGUAGUAGGAGCCAG